Molecule: transfer RNA, 74 nt
Filed under: Clostridiales bacterium
Lineage: Bacteria; Bacillati; Bacillota; Clostridia; Eubacteriales
Also listed under: 1 other name
Description: tRNA-Gly
Rfam family: tRNA
About the family: Transfer RNA (tRNA) molecules are approximately 80 nucleotides in length.
Source: RNAcentral
GCGAAUAUAGUUUAAUGGCAGAACUUCAGCUUCCCAAGCUGAUAGCGUGGGUUCGAUUCCCAUUAUUCGCUCCA